GGGAACAUAGCUUAGCUGGUUAGAGCAUUGGCUUGUCACGCCAAAGGCCACGGGUUCAAGUCCCGUUGUUCUCG
RNAcentral lists this transfer RNA (74 nucleotides) under Beta vulgaris subsp. vulgaris (sugar beet). It matches the Rfam family "tRNA". From Rfam's summary of the family: Transfer RNA (tRNA) molecules are approximately 80 nucleotides in length. Their secondary structure includes four short double-helical elements and three loops (D, anti-codon, and T loops). Lineage: Eukaryota; Viridiplantae; Streptophyta; Magnoliopsida; Caryophyllales; Amaranthaceae. The record is from Rfam by way of RNAcentral.